CAACAUUUUGUGCAAUGAUAUUUUCAUUCAAAUAAAUUCAUGUUAAACAUUUGUUUUUCCAUUUGUUUUCCCUUUUCACUUUUGCAUGAAAUUGGUGAUCACAAAAAACCUUAAAAAACAAGAAUAAAAGCAAUCUUUUCAUCUGCAUAACGAUUGUCUUGUUUGAUUUUCAAAAAAACUUUUCAUAUCAAAAUCAUUAUGCAGGUUGUUUCUUAAACCCAUUGAACAUAAUGAUCGGACGUCAUCUCCCAAUUUUGAAUUCCUUGUAUUCGAAGCGGAAGAAGAUGAUGUUGAAGGGAUUCCUGACGAGAUUUCCCGACUUCUUGAGCAAGAAAAGAAGAUCACACUCAGCUGCAUCUCGAGAAUCAGCAGAACAGCCAACUGGGGCAUUUAUCAAAAAAAGAAAAAAAGAAAAAAA
Molecule: long non-coding RNA, 418 nt
Filed under: Lathyrus oleraceus (garden pea)
Lineage: Eukaryota; Viridiplantae; Streptophyta; Magnoliopsida; Fabales; Fabaceae
Description: Pisum sativum (pea) long non-coding RNA (PSAT_LNC017580)
Source: RNAcentral